UGGAGGCAGCAGUGAGGAAUAUUGGUCAAUGGGCGCAAGCCUGAACCAGCCAUGCCGCGUGCAGGAUGACGGUCCUAUGGAUUGUAAACUGCUUUUGUACGGGAAGAAACACUGAUUCGUGAAUCAGCUUGACGGUACCGUAAGAAUAAGGAUCGGCUAACUCCGUGCCAGCAGCCGCGGUAAUACGGAGGAUCCAAGCGUUAUCCGGAAUCAUUGGGUUUAAAGGGUCCGUAGGCGGUUUGGUAAGUCGGUGGUGAAAGCCCAUCGCUCAACGGUGGAACGGCCAUUGAUACUGCUAAACUUGAAUUAUUGGGAAGUAGCUAGAAUAUGUAGUGUAGCGGUGAAAUGCUUAGAGAUUACAUGGAAUACCAAUUGCGAAGGCAGGUUACUACCAAUUGAUUGACGCUGAUGGACGAAAGCGUGGGUAGCGAACAGGAUUAGAAACCCGGGUAGUCCG
RNAcentral lists this ribosomal RNA (457 nucleotides) under uncultured bacterium. Its description in RNAcentral is "bacterial SSU rRNA". It matches the Rfam family "Bacterial small subunit ribosomal RNA", at positions 343 to 797 of the family's 1533-position model. The record is from RNAcentral.